AAAAUUCCCCCUUUUUCCUAAAUUUUCAAUUUCACUUUCUUCAUAUUCAUCAAACUGCCCCAAAUUUCAUUUUAUAUUUCCCUCCAAUUUCAUUUUGUGCGUCCUCCAAAUUUAAAUUUGCAGGUUCAUUCUAAGCCUUGGGCCAAGGUUCAUCAUGUGCGAUGAAGAUAGGAUUCUUAGGUACUUUUUCCUCUCAUUUUGAUUUCCCCUAGAGCUACAUGAAAACCCUAAGUCGGCACUAAAAAAUAUUAUCGAAGGAUGGGUCCAAACCUAGAAUGUCGUUUGUACGAGGCGAGGUACCCGAAGGUGGACAUGCCGAUGAUGAUACAGGCGAAGAACAUCGCGGACAUAGCUGCCUACUUGUCACUUUUGGAGUACAACAACAUCGAGGGUAUGAUCUUGUUCUCGGAGCUCUCCCGCGUUCAGAUUUGGAGCGUCAACAACCUCAUCAAGGUGGGGCACAUCGAGCCCGUCAUAGUCCUCCGUGUCGACAAGGAAAAGGGUUACAUCGAUCUCAGCAAGCGUAGGGUCUCCGAAGAGAACAUUCAGGCCUGCGAGGAGAGAAGCAAGGAAUAUUAGUUCUCAACAAUGCCAUUACUUCUUGCAUUGAAGCAAUAGAACAACACAAGGGUAAACUUGUCGUUAAGGAGGUUUUUUUACCUGUUGAAGAAAGAUUUUUGGAAGAGAUCCAGGGCAUCUCACUGUUGACAGAAGUCACCCAAUGGAGUUUGUACUGCUCAAUGCAAUGCGUCUUGCUGACAUAUUCUCUAAUGAUUCAGAGUUAACUUGUUUUAGUAUCAUUGACUACAUACACAUCCAAUGUGUUGUAAACAUAGUGUUAGGUAGUAUAAACAUAUUCUGUUUUGUUUGUAAAACUACACUAAAUUUAAUUAGAGACAAGAUAUUAUGCACCACUUGUUUUAUCUUUUCAUUUAUAAUCAUUGCUUUAUGAUA
Molecule: RNA transcript, 954 nt
Organism: Vigna radiata var. radiata (mung bean)
Lineage: Eukaryota; Viridiplantae; Streptophyta; Magnoliopsida; Fabales; Fabaceae
Gene name: eukaryotic translation initiation factor 2 subunit alpha homolog
Exons: 3
Source: RefSeq, a predicted model, not a curated record